UUUUUGUGUCCUUUUAAUUUCUGUAUUUUUAUUUUCUAGUUGUAUGUUAGCAUAAAUUUUAGGAUUAGAAAAUCAUAUUGUUUUGCUGUCAGUUUAAGAAUUUAUUUAGUUCUGUGUAAUUGCUAAUUAAAUUAUGAUUUAGUAGGUUGUCAUAAUCCUGUUAAGCUAUCUGUUUGUAAAAAUGAGUUAGUUAUGUUCCCUUUAAAAUAUGGUCUGGGUUUCAAUUGCUGGCUUGAUUAAUUUGGCUUAUGAAAUUGCUUAAAAGGGGAGGAUUCUGUUUAUAUAAUGACUCAAAUGAGUUUCAAAUGCAACUCUGUUGACACUGAACUUAAAAUAAAUAUUUAUACCUUUGUUCUUUCUGAAUUCUAGAGGUCUUGAUGAUUCUGUGUUUAAUAUUCACUUCCUUUUUCCUGAUUUUGUAGUACUUAAAAUUUGUAACUAAUUCUUAAUCCACAUGCUAAGACUGUUUUGAGUGAAGCCUUGUGGAAUGCCCAAGUUUAAUUCAUUACACUAUAAAGUGAGGUGCUGAGUGUGUGCAAGUUUGUUUCUCAUUUACACAUCAAACUUCCUGCUUGUUUACUCUGAAUAAUAGAGGAAGGGAUACUUAUAAAUGUUUGAUUUGAUACAAAAUCUACAACCUAGAUACCGUUUUGCUCUUGUUGAUAUUUUGUGCUGAAACUUUCUCUUAGAAGUCAACUGCCAUGUAGGGAUUUCAAAAAAAAAAAAAAAAAACUGUUUUUGUGUUGACCUGUAACAUGAUAUACAUUUAGCACAUAAUCAAAUCUCUGUUUAAAGAAAGAAAUGAUUUUUAAGGGAAAGUAUCAUGAUUAAUGAAGUUUUAAUAUUGAAAUUGUCUAUGACAGUAACUUGUGAGACCAUACAUGGACUUAUGAGUUUAGGAUUCAUCACAGGAUUCAAUAUAAGCUAAGUAUUAAAACCAAUUAGUUUGAUUCCUUUAUAGAAGUUUCUCGUACUAAAAAGGAAUAACCUAUAUGACACUGUUUUCACUUGCUUAUGUGCAGCUUUCUGCCCAUUCUUCAUCAUUUAGUUGCUAAUGAGAAAUUAAUCUUAGUAUAAAGUUGAAUAGUAUAUUAGGAGUAGGAUUAGGAAGUGUGUGAUUAUACUUGUUUGUACUUGGAAUGGAUUGUGAAGAGUGAAGUCCAGCUUACAUGAACUAUUUAAAUUCAAACUGGUCUUAUUUGUUUACUUCUCACUAAAAAUGGUCUUUAAAGUUGAAUGUUUGGAUAAAGUUAUGUGAUCAGGGUCUGUUAUAAUUGUGACUCAAUUUCCCCGACUUUUUUUUUUAUUAUUAUUUCCGGAUUGUAAUUAUUUGUGUGAGCCACAGUGUGCUAUUUUAUUUGAUGAACAGUGUAAUGGGCCUAAUUUCAGUAGCAUGUUACAUUUGAAUAGUUUAAAAUACAAAGUGAUUAAAAUGAUACAUAGUAAUUAUUAAGGGAGUGUUUGGCAUCAUUGUCUGUAUACACUUUAGUCUUUAUAUUAUGCCAAUAUACAUAAGUAAAGAUAAGUCAUGGUAUGUGGGGAUUAAGCUUGAGCUUCCCUUGGUGUCUGCGUUCCAAGAAACCCCUUGAAUCUUGUGAGACAUCAGGAAGAAGGAAGUAAAAGCUUUCCUUCUAUAUCAUUUCUACAUCUUUAUGGGUGCAUAUCAGUGGUAUAUUGAAGGUAUAAGUGUGCAUGGAAUAAAACAUGAAUGCCACUCACUUUCUUAUGUUUAAUAAAAUGACCUUGGGCCUGUUUGGGACAAACAUGUAGUUUAUUACUUCUACUUAUCUCUGUUUACUUACUUAGACAGUCCAGAAUUUUAGUUGAUUAAUUAGUUUAGCUUUAUUUUAUUAGUUACUAAUCCGUAUACUUUUCCAUGCAUUCUUGUGAAAUACCUGUGGUUCUUGGACUGUGCAUUGGUCAUUCCCGAAUUGGGCUAAGCCCAAUUCACUUCUGAUAUUGAGUCUGGUUCGAAAAAGGUGGAAUAGCAAGGGAAGCAAAUAUAUUGAAAGUCCAGCUAUGGGUGAAAAUAGCCUAAUAGGUUCGGUCGCCCAUUAGUAAAAAUCCCCCAUCCCUCUUUAUUCGUUAUGUGUUAAUUUUCCUGUAUAAAUGUGAUUAAACUCAUAUAUUAGUGAAACCCCUUAUGAAUGUAGAGUUAGGACAAACAUUUAGCUAAAUUAGG
Lycium ferocissimum is the source of this 2182-nucleotide long non-coding RNA. RefSeq lists it as uncharacterized. The transcript is spliced from 3 exons. Lineage: Eukaryota; Viridiplantae; Streptophyta; Magnoliopsida; Solanales; Solanaceae. The record is from RefSeq and is a predicted model, not a curated record.